This 465-nucleotide ribosomal RNA is filed under the name uncultured bacterium. RNAcentral's name for it is "partial 16S ribosomal RNA". It matches the Rfam family "Bacterial small subunit ribosomal RNA", at positions 338 to 795 of the family's 1533-position model. The record is from RNAcentral.
CCUACGGGUGGCAGCAGUGGGGAAUAUUGCGCAAUGGGCGAAAGCCUGACGCAGCGACGCCGCGUGAGGGAUGAAGGUCUUCGGAUCGUAAACCCCUGUCAGCAGGGAAGAACGGUCACUGUGCUAUUCAGCAGUGCAUUGACGGUACCUGCAAAGGACGCACCAGCUAACUCCGUGCCCGCAGCCGCGGUAAUACGGAGGGUGCGAGCGUUAAUCGGAAUUACUGGGCGUAAAGCGCUCGUAGGCGGUAUGUCAAGUCAAGGGUGAAAUCCCCGCGCUCAACGUGGGAACUGCCUUUGAAACUGGCAGACUGGAGUGUGUGAGAGGAGAGUGGAAUUCGAGGUGUAGGAGUGAAAUCCGUAGAUAUCGGGAGGAACAUCAGUGGCGAAGGCGACUAUCGGGCACAUAACUGACGCUGAGGAGCGAAAGCGUGGGUAGCAAACAGGAUUAGAUACCCUAGUAGUC